UACGUAGGGUGCAAGCGUUGUCCGGAAUUAUUGGGCGUAAAGAGCUCGUAGGCGGUUUGUUGCGUCGGCUGUGAAAUCCCGAGGCUCACCCUCGGGUCUGCAGUCGAUACGAGCAAACUAGAGUGUUGCAGGGGAGACUGGAAUUCCUGGUGUAGCGGUGAAAUGCGCAGAUAUCAGGAGGAACACCGGUGGCGAAGGCGGGUCUCUGGGCAACAACUGACGCUGAGGAGCGAAAGCGUGGGGAGCGAACAGG
This 253-nucleotide ribosomal RNA is filed under the name uncultured bacterium. RNAcentral's name for it is "partial 16S ribosomal RNA". It matches the Rfam family "Bacterial small subunit ribosomal RNA", at positions 524 to 776 of the family's 1533-position model. The record is from RNAcentral.